UACGGGGGGGGCAAGCGUUGUUCGGAAUUACUGGGCGUAAAGGGCGCGUAGGCGGUUGGAUAAGUCAGCUGUGAAAACCACGAGCUCAACUUGUGGCCUGCAGUUGAAACUGUCUGGCUAGAGUGUGGGAGAGGGAAGUGGAAUUCCUGGUGUAGCGGUGAAAUGCGUAGAUAUCAGGAGGAACAUCAGUGGCGAAAGCGACUUCCUGGACCAGAACUGACGAUCAGGCACGAAAGCGUGGGGAGCAAACAGG
RNAcentral lists this ribosomal RNA (253 nucleotides) under uncultured bacterium. RNAcentral's name for it is "partial 16S ribosomal RNA". It matches the Rfam family "Bacterial small subunit ribosomal RNA", at positions 524 to 776 of the family's 1533-position model. The record is from RNAcentral.